CACGUAGGGGCGAAGCGUUGUCCGGAAUUACUGGGCGUAAAGCGCGCGCAGGCUGUUUGGUCAGCAGCGGGUGAAAUCACAGGGCUCAACUCUGUGGCUGCUCGCUGAACUGCCAGACUAGGGUUCGGGAGAGGGCAGUGGAAUUCCUGGUGUAGCGGUGGAAUGCGUAAAUAUCAGGAGGAACACCCGUGGCGAAAGCUGCUGCCUGGAACGAUACCGACGCUGAGGCGCGAAAGCUAGGGGAGCGAACGGGGAUUAGA
This 260-nucleotide ribosomal RNA is filed under the name uncultured prokaryote. Its description in RNAcentral is "partial 16S ribosomal RNA". It matches the Rfam family "Bacterial small subunit ribosomal RNA", at positions 524 to 782 of the family's 1533-position model. The record is from RNAcentral.